Molecule: ribosomal RNA, 253 nt
Filed under: uncultured bacterium
Lineage: Bacteria
Description: partial 16S ribosomal RNA
Rfam family: Bacterial small subunit ribosomal RNA
Source: RNAcentral
UACGGGGGGGGCAAGCGUUGUUCGGAAUUACUGGGCGUAAAGGGUUUGUAGGUGGCUCGCUAAGUCAUACGUGAAAUCCCUCAGCUUAACUGGGGAACUGCGUGUGAGACUGGCAAGCUCGAGUGCAGGAGAGGAAUGCGGAAUUCCAGGUGUAGCGGUGAAAUGCGUAGAUAUCGGGAGCAACAUCAGUGGCGAAGGCGGCCCUCUGGUCCAGUACUGACACUCAAGUGCGAAAGCGUGGGGAGCAAACAGG